UCGGAACUGCGCUGCGCGAGCAGCUGGGCGCUGGAGGUGAAGAGGCGGAGGAGGAGGAGGAGGGAGUGAGGGGAGGAGAGAAAAGAGGGUGGGGAGGGGACCGCGGGCGGCGGGGGGAGGGGAACGCGCCGCCAGGGCAGACAAUGAGCGCCGCUCAGCCUGCGGUUGUGGGCCGAGCCCAGAGUACCUUCCCGGGAGUGGGGGCGAGCCCUUCGAGGGGGCGCAGAGCCCUGGGACGCCCGGGGAGGGGCGGAGGUGGAGGAACGCUUGACCUGGCUGGCGACCCACACCCAUCCGGCGGCGCAGCACUUUCCUCCGCCCCCAGUUACACACGCACUCACGGGGGCGGGUGGGGGGAGCAGUGGUUGUGCAAAGCCCCGCGCUGCCACCGCGGCGGGAGGGAUGCGCCAGCUUUCGGGUCAACGUGCCCCCCAGAAUGAGGGGGAAAGUGCUUUGCUCUUUGGGCCUGCCCCGUUCUUCUGUCCACGUUAGAAGAGUUUUUGUUGUUCUGCAGCUGUAUGGGACUGACCUUAAACUUUCCCCGACCUCUUCUCGAGACCCUGGGGCUCGGGUCGUGGUGGCCACCGGGGAUCGAGGAUCGAAAUAUAUGGAAAAGAAGGAACUCCAGUGCCCAGCUUCUUAUCUCUACCCUGCUUUUUAGAAACAGACUAUAAAUUCCCAGGAGGUUUCGGGAGUUCACGUCUGCACUCACCAGCUAACCUUUGGGAAAAACCUUUUGAUUCGGGGUCCUGGUGUACUUAAAGGCUAGUCCCUGAAGGUGCGCGUGAUGGAAAAAAGGGCUUCCACCCCAGUCGCGCCCCAAGAUGCUCUCCAAGUUUUGGUGUCCCGUUUGCUCUGAGCUUAUCCUGGAGAAUUUCAGGUAAGUCUUGGAUAAGUCAUUGGAAAGGGGGAGGGGGGUCAACUUCCCUGGACCCAGCGGGAAGUACCGCUUCCCCACCCCCACCCUCACAUACACACCCCUUCUUCUCUCCCUCCAAAUGGUUAUCACAACUGUGUACAAACUGAUACGGUCCUGAGCCGGCAAAGGGACUGGAAAUGAACGUCGCAGGGUUAUCAGCGCCGAUCUGUCAGCAGCGAGGCGCGCGGCCGCAGGUUGGUCCGCAGGAGCUGUGAUAUAUGUCUCGCUCCCUUUAGCGCACAAAAACAUUUCUUCCGACAGACGUGACCCCAGAAGGCCGCGGAGAGAGAAUUUUAACUAGGGCAGGAGGAGUUGCUUUGUGAGAAUGGAUUUUACAAUUUUUUUCCAGGUAAAUCGAAGUAAAUGAUUUUCUAAAGGUCAGUCUCCCUGAAAGCAUUUGGGCUUGCUCUCUCUCUCUCUCUCUCUCUCUCUCUCUCUCUCCUUUUUUAAUAUUGUGUUUUUCCAGUUGGAAAAGGAAGACAAGACUAAGAGAGUUGAACCGGGGUAGGUAGGGACAUUGUAAAAUAUGGUUUAGAGAGGUCGUGAGACUGAGUCGCUGAAAGUAUGUUUCCUCACUAUAAUAGUGAGCUGUGAACCUGUGUAUUGUAGGGAGAGAAGGGGACAGACCCUGGCAAUGAGGGGGAGGAGGUCGCCGAAUCGAGGAAGUCGAAGAGAGUUCUUUUUUUAAUUUGUUUUCCGUUCUUCGUUGUAAAUUGCUGCUAAACACUUCUGACUUUUAAAUUGCUACUAAGACGGUCCAUAAACCGUUCUCAUCCAAUUUAGUCACUUUUAUUACAUUCCUCUUUGCUUCCCCCAAUCACUGUGGCGGUUCCCAGUUUCAAUGUGGCCACAAUCGGAACCAGUGAAGGUAGAAAACUCUGGAACAGAGAUCGGCGACCGGAGCAGGAUUCAGGGCUUUAAAUUUUAACCUGAGUUCGAUCGAAUGGGACUGGCAGAAGAGCUGACCUGGCGUCCGCCUGCCAGUUAACUCCGACCAGGGUUGAAAGCUACUUUCUUUUGGGUUUUUCGUGAGUUUCCGACCAAGUUUUUAACAGACUCAGUUUUUUCAGAAGCUCAUUUGUAAGCAGUUACAGAAACGUUGUGGACAUUUGAUUUUCUUUGGGGCCAACUGUUGCCAAGUGCUUCUCAGUUUUACUCUUAAAAGCAAAGGUUUUUUUUUUUCUUUUUUCUUAAUUCAUAUCUCAGUGAGGUGAUUUCUAAUGCGGACGAGUUUUUAAAAAUCCUCUGGCUAAGUUAGAUUCCAGGAUGUGAAUGGCCUCCAAGCCUGAGCCCUGAGAAGACCCAGACCCGAACCUGAUUCCUGUUGUGUGUGUUUCUUUAUAUUAGGAAGUAUGAAGGUGUCUGAAUUUCCUUGGACAAUAGCUAAGCCCCCAGGGACGUGCUUUCCCCGCAGCUCCGCAGCAGCUGUACGAGGGUGCACCGGCCCUGACACCGCUGGGACAGACCGUGACCGACCCCACAACGUGCGGUCUCAAAUGGCUCGAGAAGGCGCCCGGGAUUUUACCUUCCAGAUUCCCAAUCUCUUUUUAACAUUGCCUAAAACAAGGGUGGGCAGUUGCAAUUUGCUCCUUUGCACGGUCACAAUUUUUUUUAGACUGGUUUUCCAACUAAAGGAAAUGAGGGGUAGUAAAAUGGUUUUUCUUUUUUUUUUCUUUUCAGUUCGCUUAAAAAUAAAACAAAACCGUUUAACCCGUAGAGUUUAUCCAGACAACAAGCUAAGGCUGCCUGACCCAUCCAGUGUACCAUUUCCCCAAUGCAUUGGAUUUGGCCCUGGGGAAAACACCCCCGGAAGUAGUGGCACAUUUUCAAAGCCACCCCUAAGGGACCCUGGGUCCCGCGCUUCCUUUGAGCACACCAGCUGGUCCAGAAAGGAGGGCAGAAUAGGGAUGCGGAGGGAAAAAGUGCACCCCAAACUAGGGAGGAACCCGAGAGCUGGAGAAGUCCCCCAUAAUUCCCCAGUGAAUAGGCUGCUAGAAGUUCUAUUCUCUUCGCGGUUUUUUCUUUAUCUUUUUCCUUUCCUUUUCCUUCCGUCUGUCUCCUUUUUGAGGAGAUUUACUAAACUGAAACGAAAUUAUUUCUCCCCGGACUAUUUAGACUCGAGGAGGGGCCCCUCUGGAGUGAGCCUUCCGUCCUCAAGCCGCCCUCCUCGCCCUCGGAGAGGUGCUGGCUCCGAAAUGCGACCUGUCCCCAAGGCUGAUUUAUUUGGGCUGCGCCACACUACUAUUUGCGAUUCGAAUCCAGCCGGAAUCCGGCAGCCAAUUGGGCAGGGGGCGGAGGCUUUGCUGCCAAAUGCGAAGGGGUGUUUGGGAACCCAGUGGUGCUCUGUUUCCAGAGGAGGGCGAGACCCGGGUGAGGACCGAGAAACGACACGCCUUUACCCGCCCCCCGAAACCUUAAGCUCAAUAAGUUGUCAGUUCACAAAGCUCCCGGCUGCUCCAGCGAGGUUUCGGAAAGAAAGAAUACAAUUUCUGAUUUAAAACGUAGUUUUAAAUUGAGAGUUUUAAAAAAGAUCUCUGGGGCCUUCUUGCCGUUACCGCAUUUCUUGCUGUCCCUGGGACGCUUUUGACGAAGGACACGGGUCGCCCCGGUGCCCCCACCCCAGCCAGCAUCCUGCCCCAAUAGUCGGGUUGGGGCGGCCUGUCCCCCGGACUCAGCGGCUGCCAAUCCAAUGCAAGCGCGUCCAGAGAGUCCAGGCGGUGUUUGGGGUGGGGGAGGGCGGGUUGUCUCUCUCUCUCUCUCUCUCUCUCUCUCUCUCCCCCCCCUNNNNNNNNNNNNNNNNNNNNNNNNNNNNNNNNNNNNNNNNNNNNNNNNNNNNNNNNNNNNNNNNNNNNNNNNNNNNNNNNNNNNNNNNNNNNNNNNNNNNNNNNNNNNNNNNNNNNNNNNNNNNNNNNNNNNNNNNNNNNNNNNNNNNNNNNNNNNNNNNNNNNNNNNNNNNNNNNNNNNNNNNNNNNNNNNNNNNNNNNNNNNNNNNNNNNNNNNNNNNNNNNNNNNNNNNNNNNNNNNNNNNNNNNNNNNNNNNNNNNNNNNNNNNNNNNNNNNNNNNNNNNNNNNNNNNNNNNNNNNNNNNNNNNNNNNNNNNNGGUAAGUUAGGGCCGCGAUAAGCGGGCGACCAGAGAAGGGUCGCUGUAAAAGCCCCACGCUGGGCGCCUCCUAGCCCUCCCCUCAUCCAUUAACCUUUUUACUUUCUUCUUCCCUCUCUCUUUUAAAGCUUGUUAUCUAGGCCACCCAUGACCGACGAAAGAUCUUCCCUCCCGGCUUCUCCCAAGGCCGCUUUAACCCAAAUAAAUUUGGCUAUUAAGGGCCAAGAUGCCUGACAAAAGAUCGAAAGGUGUCUAUCCGUGAUCGCUUAAAGAAGCGGAGGAAAAGCUUGUGGCUCUCUGAUCCCGAUAAAGACAUUCCACCCGGCGCCGGCCUCCCUUCCCGCGGCCUGGCUGCGCCCUGACACCCUGAGAUCGCGGCCUCACUGGCGCACACCUCCACGGGCCCGGCGGGACCUGUGUCCGCUGCACCGGGAAUGUGGAGGUCCCCAGGCUGCCUGGGUCCCGGGGUCCGUGGAACUCCAGGCCGGACGGAGCUGGGCUCCCAAAACAGACACCCUGCACUUACCAGAAAAACUAAACCGAGCUCACUGGGGCCUGAAUUACCGUCCCGUUUUGAUUAUUUUCUGAUGUUGAAUAAUUCUACCUUCCCACCCCCCACUCCCUGGGGUUUCGCCGAGGGGCGAUGUUAUUCCAUAUCUCUGGUUGUCUGGAGCAGCCCUUCUUUGGAACCCCGGUCAGAACCGAUGGGUGGAACUGGACAGCUGAAUUAGACUGAGGCCAAUGCGGCGGGUGUGGACUCGCAAAUGAAGAGCGUGCAGGUGGGAGGCAGAGGUCCAAUCCCUCGGUCAUCCCCAGGUUGGGUUUGGUUAUGAAAUGCGGUGUUUAUUAUCAUUAUUAAUUACUAUUGGCAUAACUACACAAAGCCUAGGGCUGCCAGCUGGGCCGAGGCCCUGCCCCUGGGGUGAUCCUUUUCACUAAAGCGAGGCAGGACUAUCCACUUUCCUGAUCCAGGACUGAAGAGGGGGCUUGGGGAGUCAGGUGCCACGUUUUGGAGGUCUCCGCGCUGAGCCAUUUCUUCUUCCCUUAAGUAGAUGUAGCAUUCCCCCGGACUCUAGUCUCACCUAAGCCUUUUCUGCCACUUUGCAACAUGGGUAGUUAAGAACCUUCAGGGGUGGCAGGUUAGAGAGACAGCGCUGGCUUCCCUGCAACGGGGAUUCAUUCCUCUUAGAUCUUGUGCUGUCCCCUUCUGUUCUAUGGUGAAGCUGGAGACAGGACUCUGAAUUCCAAAGGCAAUCUAACAUCUUCGGUUUCUGUCUGUCACCUCAUGCUGGGUCCCGGAAGUUAAAGAUGACUCCCUUUUCUCAUUGCCUUCCUCCAAAUAAGGUGAACUCCAAAGCCAUCCACCUCAUCUAAUCCUUCCCCCUCAUCCAGCCACCCCUCCGGGGUGGGGGGUGGGGGGGAUAGGAAAAACCAGAGCAUCAGAAGGAAAGGGAUCAUCUCUGCUCCCCCAAAGGUGAAAGAGACAGAAAUUUCCAACACACUAGACAUGAAAGACCUGAAUUUUGCUGGUAUCACUAGAUGUGCAGAUAAUGCCAAUUCUAGGGUCAGAGUCCAGAUGCCACUGCCCCAGAGCUGUCUCAGCUCAGAGACCUUUCUGUUUCUCUUUUCUUGGUUGGGGGGGAGGGGGUAAUGUUGCUAAGAGGGAGCAGAAAAGGAGGUGAUAAGCUUUUGGAGAUUUGCUAAGUAACUAAUGCUCCUCCUUGAGUCAAUUAAAGGGGAGAGAAAUGCCCCCAAAAUAAAAAAUUACUGCAUUUGCCACCCAGAACUAUGACCUCUGCAUUCAGUUAUGUUGCAAAUAUGCAGAGAAUCAGGACCGAGAGUUGUCUACCCAUAUGCAGCCCUCCAGUUUCCUGCGCUUGCCCAACAACACUACUGAGUAUAUAUACUGCACAAAGAGAACUAGAAGAGUUAGCUCCUAGUUUUGAAGUGUUUACAGUCUAGAAGUUUGGGACUUCUGUGGAGCCGGUUAGGCAAAGUACCACAGACAGUUUCAAAGAUGGAGGGAGGUGUUUGAGCCUUUCCCUAGAAGAGUUUACCCAGGCUCAUAUUGUCUUCUAGGCUUCACAGUGAGUUUGUAAAGAACCGAGUCACUCUGGCUCACAGACUAAGAGAAUUGCCUGGGUUGGAAUCUUGAUUCUGCCACUUUCUAACUGUGUGACCAGGACAAAUUGCCUAACCUCUCUGCGCCUCAGUUUUCUCAUCUGUAACAUGAGGAUGAUAAAAGUAACUCCCUGAUAGGAUUGUUUAAGGGGAUUAAAAGAUUUCUUAAAUGGAAAGUGCCAAGAGUACCUGGCACAUAGUAAGCACUAUGUUAAGUGUGAACUAUUAUUACCAAUAUCUAUAUUGUAAUAGACUCACAUAUACUACACUGAAUUUCAAUUUCUUGUGUGACCCAGCUGUUCCCUGGAGUGAAUUAAUUUCCAAGAAAGAACUUCUUUCAGCACCCAUUCAACUUUGAGUCUUGCCAUUCAUUAGAGGCCUCAGGCUUUUUCUAGGUACCAGCACUGAGGAUUUUAUUUAUUGCAUUAUGGUAGGAAAGUGUGGGCUGAGACAAACAUAGUUCUUUACUUGCUUUUGGUUCCUUUGAAGAAGAAACGUUCCUUGUUGUUCUCCCUUGCAAAUCCCAGCAGCAGACUCCAG
Molecule: long non-coding RNA, 6681 nt
Filed under: Lynx pardinus (Iberian lynx)
Lineage: Eukaryota; Metazoa; Chordata; Mammalia; Carnivora; Felidae
Source: RNAcentral